ACGAACGCUGGCGGCGUGCUUAACACAUGCAAGUCGAACGGAAAGGCCCUGCUUUUGUGGGGUGCUCGAGUGGCGAACGGGUGAGUAACACGUGAGUAACCUGCCCUUGACUUUGGGAUAACUUCAGGAAACUGGGGCUAAUACCGGAUAGGAGCUCCUGCUGCAUGGUGGGGGUUGGAAGGUUUCGGCGGUUGGGGAUGGACUCGCGGCUUAUCAGCUUGUUGGUGGGGUAGUGGCUUACCAAGGCUUUGACGGGUAGCCGGCCUGAGAGGGUGACCGGCCACAUUGGGACUGAGAUACGGCCCAGACUCCUACGGGAGGCAGCAGUGGCGAAUAUUGCACAAUGGGCGGAAGCCUGAUGCAGCAACGCCGCGUGCGGGAUGACGGCCUUCGGGUUGUAAACCGCUUUCGCCUGUGACGAAGCGUGAGUGACGGUAAUGGGUAAAGAAGCACCGGCUAACUACGUG
This 467-nucleotide ribosomal RNA is filed under the name uncultured bacterium. RNAcentral describes it as "partial 16S ribosomal RNA". It matches the Rfam family "Bacterial small subunit ribosomal RNA", at positions 29 to 507 of the family's 1533-position model. The record is from RNAcentral.